Long non-coding RNA from Chenopodium quinoa (quinoa), 2859 nucleotides. RefSeq lists it as uncharacterized. NCBI's taxonomy places the organism in Eukaryota, Viridiplantae, Streptophyta, Magnoliopsida, Caryophyllales, Amaranthaceae. The record is from RefSeq and is a predicted model, not a curated record. The transcript is spliced from 4 exons.
CCCCCCCCCCCCCCCCUUUUUUUUGUUGGUUUAUUAUAUGCUCGUAAUUUUAUUCUUCUUCCAGCAAUGUUUGUUCCUGUCUUUUGAUCAAGAGCGCUGCUGGAGUGCUGGUUUAUUGCUGUGAAUAGUGUCGCGAUUCAUAGAUUGUUUUCAGUUCUAUCUAUGUAAUUAUAAUUUAAAUUUUGAUGAAAAUUGUGUUGGUAAAUUGUUUUGCUGUGUUGGUAAAUUGUUUAUAUAUUGCUGUGAAUAAUUGGUUAUUUGUUGAAGAUAAUGUUCACAUAUUGCCUAUGAUUCUCGGACUCGGGUACCCAUGGCCGACACGGUUACGUGUCCAAGUGUCCGACUCAACCAUUUUGUGAAAAUUUUCCAAGAUUUCUUGUUUAAUUUAAACUAACACAUUCGAAAAUGAUCCUAGGAUUAGUUAUGACUCAUUUGAGGCUCAGUUCUCAGUUUCCAUUGGAGCUCAUUGAUUUAAUGGUUUUGAAUGGGUAUAUUUAUGAACAUAAACUCUGUUUAAGAGCUUUUCAUGAAGUUUGAUGAAUAUAUCUAUUUUACUUGACUUGAAUAUUUGGUUUUUGAAAUUGGGUCAUCUCUCUCUUCUUCCCAAAUGGUUUCAUAUUAAGCUAUAUGAUAAUGCACCUGAUUGAUAGUUUAUGCUUAUGAGUUACAGAUGAGUAGAUAGCAAUUCACAUACACUUCUAAUACUUCCAUGCAUUGACUACCAUUUUCUUUGAGCCUUACUAAGUUACUACUUUAUUUUAUCUUCUUUUCUAUUUGCAGGCUUACCUCUACAUAUGUUAAGCCACCAUUCCCAAUUUGAUUGCGCUGCGUGUCAACCCGAUCCCUAAACUAUUUUCAACAUCAUUACAUUUGCCAACUUACCCUAAACUAUUCUAUUUAUCUAAUAUAUAAAGUGAAGAGAGAUUUUGGGUGAUAAAUGUCAAUUUGCCAGAUUACUCCUACUUACCUUUUUUUUUUUUUUUUUUUUUUUUUUUUUUUUUUUUUUUUUUUUAAGAACAACCAUCCUAAAUUGAAAAAAAAGUACCAUCCGAAUCUAACUUUUAGGAUAAAAUACAAUUAUACAAGUACUUAUCAACCGUUUUUUUUUAAUUAUUCAAUUAAAGAAAAUACUCUAUGACUUCAUCAGAUGUUUUUAUUUUUUAAACCAAUUUUUAUUUUAUAAUUUUUUUACUUAUAUUUAUUUUUAUUAUCAACAAUUUUAAAAUUUGCAUCACUAAUAUUUAUUGUAUUCUAUUAGAAUAAAGAAGAGAAUGAGCCUAAUAAGUUUCUUAAAUUGCGCACACACACGCAAUCUUAGCUUAUUCAAUUAAAUCGGACAAGUCCUUAAACUAUUUCUAGAAUAUAUGUAAAUUAUAUGACAAAUAAUAUUUAAAGGUCCCUAAACCUAUUGCCACAUCAACAGUUAUUGGCUGGAAAUUGCUUUCCCUGGUGGUUAAUGGACCAAUUUGCCUCAUUUAAAAGGCUUACCUCUACAUAUGUUAAGCCACCAUUCCCUUCAGAUUGUGGUGCUUGUCGUGUCAGUGUUAUGGUUGGAGUGCAGCAUAACAAGUAAGAGGAGAAUUGUGUGUAGCUAGCUGAUUGUUGCGAUUUUGGGUGUUUGAGGGAAGUAGGAGUUUGGGCGGCUGAUUGGCUGCUGCGCGGUGGCUCGGUUGGGAGUAGGGGCAGCAACGGGGAAGCGUGGUAAGUUACCAAAUGCGAGCUUGAGGAUGAAUUUCGAGUUUAUGGUGUUCUUUGCAAGUUCAGGGAUAUUCAUGAAAGCAUAUAUUUUCUCAACUAGAAGGAACAAGGUUCUCAACUUAGCUUGCUAGCAAAGGAUUUUGGGUCAUUUGAUUGUUUUUCAAGCGAGUUCCUGAUCGAUGGAAGUACACUCAGCCUUGUAGUUUCUGAUGAACAGAAAAAUGUUCAGGUCUUUGAACAUUAUGGCUGGAAUGGAAAUAGAGACAGAAGUGGAACACUGGAAGAAUGUAGCAGUGCCAGACUGACUUGAUGGGGAAUAAUAAUGAGAUGGUAAACCUGUAUGGAUUACUUAUGGUAUGAGAUGCUUUCUAAUUAAUUUUCGUUAUUUUUGAUGACUUUUUAUUUAGCCAUGAGGAUUAAAGUAACUGGCGUUCUGCUUCAGACAUUUCUUGACUCAAUUUUUCUUUGAAAUGGAUUCCUUAGUUUGGUUGCUUAAGAGCUGCCUUAUGUGUUGAACUCAUUCUAACUGUUGAUCUUGUAUCUUGAUCUCAUCUCUCUUUGCUGCCUUGACUCUUUUAUAUUCUGUCUUCCCCUGAUGAUGCAUGUAAAGAGUAGCUUCACAUGAAACAUUUGCUUCACCAUUUGAUUUCAGUUAUGCCAUCUCUCUGAAGUUCUCAACUUUUGCCAUCAUUUGAUUCACCAUUUGAUUGCAGUUAUUUAUGCUUGUUUGUGACUUCAUGUUAAAAGACAGAAAUAAUGACUUGAGGUCAAGUAUUGUGAUUAUUAAUGGAAGAUGAAACUCAACAAACUAUAGAGGUGCUAGUGGUGGAAGUCAAGGAUAAGCUUGCUAGUGUUACGGAGCCAAUUGAGGAAAAUGGUAAUAAAGAAGAAAAAGAAAGCUCUCUGGAUGAUGGAGAGUUCAUUAAGGUCGAGAGAGAACCUGUGGAAAUGAAAGAUAGGUUUCGAGAUGUUGAAGUAAAUGUUGAAGAAAGCAAAUCAUCUGUUAGUGAAUCUAGCAGAAAAGUCCUUGAAGCACUGGAGUAGAUAAACGAGCUUGAGACUGAAUUAGAAAGAGUGGCUGCUGCAUUAAACGAUUCUGAGUCACAGAAUGCAAAUUUGAAAAAUGAGGCCUUAUCGACUGAAGUAAAGCUGCAAGAAUGU